RNAcentral lists this ribosomal RNA (254 nucleotides) under uncultured bacterium. Its description in RNAcentral is "partial 16S ribosomal RNA". It matches the Rfam family "Bacterial small subunit ribosomal RNA", at positions 524 to 776 of the family's 1533-position model. The record is from RNAcentral.
CACGUAGGGUGCGAGCGUUGUCCGGAAUUAUUGGGCGUAAAGAGCUCGUAGGCGGUGUGUCGCGUCGGCCGUGAAAACCUGCAGCUUAACUGUGGGCUUGCGGUCGAUACGGGCAUCACUGGAGUUCGGCAGGGGAGACUGGAAUUCCUGGUGUAGCGGUGAAAUGCGCAGAUAUCAGGAGGAACACCGGUGGCGAAGGCGGGUCUCUGGGCCGAUACUGACGCUGAGAUGCGAAAGCCAGGGGAGCAAACGGG